GAUGAACGCUGGCGGCGUGCCUAAUACAUGCAAGUCGAGCGAACGGACGAGAAGCUUGCUUUUCUGAUGUUAGCGGCGGACGGGUGAGUAACACGUGGAUAACCUACCUAUAAGACUGGGAUAACUUCGGGAAACCGGAGCUAAUACCGGAUAAUAUUUUGAACCGCAUGGUUCAAAAGUGAAAGACGGUCUUGCUGUCACUUAUAGAUGGAUCCGCGCUGCAUUAGCUAGUUGGUAAGGUAACGGCUUACCAAGGCAACGAUGCAUAGCCGACCUGAGAGGGUGAUCAGCCACACUGGAACUGAGACACGGUCCAGACUCCUACGGGAGGCAGCAGUAGGGAAUCUUCCGCAAUGGGCGAAAGCCUGACGGAGCAACGCCGCGUGAGUGAUGAAGGUCUUCGGAUCGUAAAACUCUGUUAUUAGGGAAGAACAUAUGUGUAAGUAACUGUGCACAUCUUGACGGUACCUAAUCAGAAAGCAACGGCUAACUACGUG
This 497-nucleotide ribosomal RNA is filed under the name uncultured bacterium. RNAcentral's name for it is "partial 16S ribosomal RNA". It matches the Rfam family "Bacterial small subunit ribosomal RNA", at positions 28 to 507 of the family's 1533-position model. The record is from RNAcentral.